UCAAACCUCCUAAGCCCUGCUUGGGGUAUUGGGUUUUCGUCUCUCCCCCCUAUAUAGGUGGUGGGCGUACCUGAAAAUUAGGGAUGGUGCCUCAACAAGACUCAAGUGAAGCAGACUUUCUCGCUUUGGAGCACUUUUGUGGUACUGUCAACAAAAUAAUUGAACAA
This 167-nucleotide unclassified non-coding RNA is filed under the name uncultured Geoglossomycetes. RNAcentral describes it as "sequence contains ITS2". Lineage: Eukaryota; Fungi; Ascomycota; Geoglossomycetes. The record is from RNAcentral.